CUAACAAGAAAGCACCGGCUAACUACGUGCCAGCAGCCGCGGUAAAACGUAGGGUGCAAGCGUUGUCCGGAAUUACUGGGUGUAAAGGGAGCGCAGGCGGGAAGACAAGUUGGAAGUGAAAACCAUGGGCUCAACCCAUGAAUUGCUUUCAAAACUGUUUUUCUUGAGUAGUGCAGAGGUAGAUGGAAUUCCCGGUGUAGCGGUGGAAUGCGUAGAUAUCGGGAGGAACACCAGUGGCGAAGGCGGUCUACUGGGCACCAACUGACGCUGAGGCUCGAAAGCAUGGGUAGCAAACAGGAUUAGAUACCCUGGUAGUCCAUGCCGUAAACGAUGAUUACUAGGUGUUGGGGGAUUGACCCCCUCAGUGCCGCAGUUAACACAAUAAGUAAUCCACCUGGGGAGUACGACCGCAAGGUUGCAACUCAAAGGAAUUGACGG
Molecule: ribosomal RNA, 438 nt
Filed under: uncultured Bacillota bacterium
Lineage: Bacteria; Bacillati; Bacillota
Description: bacterial SSU rRNA
Rfam family: Bacterial small subunit ribosomal RNA
Source: RNAcentral